AUUGAACGCUGGCGGCAUGCCUUACACAUGCAAGUCGAACGGUAACAGGUCUUCGGAUGCUGACGAGUGGCGAACGGGUGAGUAAUACAUCGGAACGUGCCUAGUAGUGGGGGAUAACUACUCGAAAGAGUGGCUAAUACCGCAUGAAAUCUACGGAUGAAAGCAGGGGAUCGCAAGACCUUGUGCUACUAGAGGGGCAGAUGGCAGAUUAGGUAGUUGGUGGGAUAAAAGCUUACCAAGCCGACGAUCUGUAGCUGGUCUGAGAGGACGAUCAGCCACACUGGGACUGAGACACGGCCCAGACUCCUACGGGAGGCAGCAGUGGGGAAUUUUGGACAAUGGGCGCAAGCCUGAUCCAGCAAUGCCGCGUGCAGGAUGAAGGCCUUCGGGUUGUAAACUGCUUUUGUACGGAACGAAAAGCCCUGGGUUAAUACCCUGGGGUCAUGACGGUACCGUAAGAAUAAGCACCGGCUAACUACGUGCCAGCCGCCGCCGUAA
RNAcentral lists this ribosomal RNA (498 nucleotides) under uncultured bacterium. Its description in RNAcentral is "partial 16S ribosomal RNA". It matches the Rfam family "Bacterial small subunit ribosomal RNA", at positions 30 to 523 of the family's 1533-position model. The record is from RNAcentral.